This 464-nucleotide ribosomal RNA is filed under the name Vreelandella stevensii. Its description in RNAcentral is "partial 16S ribosomal RNA". It matches the Rfam family "Bacterial small subunit ribosomal RNA", at positions 338 to 795 of the family's 1533-position model. Lineage: Bacteria; Pseudomonadati; Pseudomonadota; Gammaproteobacteria; Oceanospirillales; Halomonadaceae. The record is from RNAcentral.
CCUACGGGUGGCAGCAGUGGGGAAUAUUGGACAAUGGGCGAAAGCCUGAUCCAGCCAUGCCGCGUGUGUGAAGAAGGCCUUCGGGUUGUAAAGCACUUUCAGUGGGGAAGAAAGCCUUGGGGCUAAUACCCUCGAGGAAGGACAUCACCCACAGAAGAAGCACCGGCUAACUCCGUGCCAGCAGCCGCGGUAAUACGGAGGGUGCGAGCGUUAAUCGGAAUUACUGGGCGUAAAGGGCGCGUAGGCGGUCUGAUAAGCCGGUUGUGAAAGCCCCGGGCUCAACCUGGGAACGGCAUCCGGAACUGUCAGGCUAGAGUGCAGGAGAGGAAGGUAGAAUUCCCGGUGUAGCGGUGAAAUGCGUAGAGAUCGGGAGGAAUACCAGUGGCGAAGGCGGCCUUCUGGACUGACACUGACGCUGAGGUGCGAAAGCGUGGGUAGCAAACAGGAUUAGAUACCUUGUAGUC